This 289-nucleotide ribosomal RNA is filed under the name uncultured bacterium. RNAcentral describes it as "partial 16S ribosomal RNA". It matches the Rfam family "Bacterial small subunit ribosomal RNA", at positions 30 to 320 of the family's 1533-position model. The record is from RNAcentral.
AUUGAACGCUGGCGGCAUGCCUAACACAUGCAAGUCGAACGGGGUGUAGCAAUACAUCUAGUGGCGGACGGGUGAGGAAUACAUAGGAAUUUGCCCUUAAGUGGGGGAGUAGUCCGGGGAAACGUACGGUUUAAUUACCGCAUGAUCUCGUGAGAGCAAAGACAGGGGACCGGCAAGGCCUUGCGCUUUUGGUAGAAGCCUAUGUCGGAUUAGCUAGUUGGUAGGGUAAUGGCCUACCAAGGCAACGAUCCGUAACUGGUCUGAGAGGAUGAUCAGUCACACCGGAACU